GACGAACGCUGGCGGCGUGCCUAAUACAUGCAAGUCGAACGAGAGCGACCGGUGCUUGCACUGGUCAAUCUAGUGGCGAACGGGUGAGUAACACGUGGGUAACCUGCCCAUCAGAGGGGGAUAACAUCCGGAAACGGAUGCUAAAACCGCAUAGGUCUUCGAGCCGCAUGGCUUGAAGAGGAAAAGAGGCGCAAGCUUCUGCUGAUGGAUGGACCCGCGGUGCAUUAGCUAGUUGGUGAGGUAACGGCUCACCAAGGCCGUGAUGCAUAGCCGACCUGAGAGGGUGAUCGGCCACAUUGGGACUGAGACACGGCCCAAACUCCUACGGGAGGCAGCAGUAGGGAAUCUUCCGCAAUGGACGCAAGUCUGACGGAGCAACGCCGCGUGAGUGAAGAAGGUUUUCGGAUCGUAAAACCCUGUUGUUAGAGAAGAACAAGUGCUAGAGUAACUGUUAGCGCCUUGACGGUAUCUAACCAGAAAGCCACGGCUAACUACGUG
This 498-nucleotide ribosomal RNA is filed under the name uncultured bacterium. RNAcentral describes it as "partial 16S ribosomal RNA". It matches the Rfam family "Bacterial small subunit ribosomal RNA", at positions 28 to 507 of the family's 1533-position model. The record is from RNAcentral.